CCUACGGUGGGCAGCAGUGGGGGAUAUUGCACAAUGGGGGGAACCCUGAUGCAGCGACGCCGCGUGGGUGAAGAAGGGCCUCGGCGCGUAAAGCCCUGUCAGUAGGGAAGAAACUGACGGUACGUGUAGAAGAAGCCACGGCUAAUAACGAGCCAGACGCCGCGGUACUAUGCAGGGGGCAGGCGUGAUCCGGAUUUAAUGGGGGUAAAGGGGGUGCAGGCGGGAAUGAAGGCCAGGAGUGAAAGCCCGGGGCCCAACCCGGGGAUUGCAGUUGGAACUGCGGGGCUGGAGUGCAGGGGGGGCAGGCGGAAUUCGUGGUGUAGCGGUGAAAUGCGUAGAUAUGAGGAAGAACACCGAUGGCGAAGGCGGCUUGCUGGACCGGAACUGACGCUGAGGCCCGAAAGCGUGGGGAGCGAACAGGAUUAGAUACCCGAGUAGUC
RNAcentral lists this ribosomal RNA (440 nucleotides) under uncultured bacterium. RNAcentral describes it as "partial 16S ribosomal RNA". It matches the Rfam family "Bacterial small subunit ribosomal RNA", at positions 338 to 795 of the family's 1533-position model. The record is from RNAcentral.